UUUCAACGGAGAGUUUGAUCCUGGCUCAGGACGAACGCUGGCGGCGUGCUUAACACAUGCAAGUCGAGCGGAAAGGCCCUUCGGGGUACUCGAGCGGCGAACGGGUGAGUAACACGUGAGUAAUCUGCCCUUCACUUCGGGAUA
Molecule: ribosomal RNA, 144 nt
Filed under: Nocardioides terrae
Lineage: Bacteria; Bacillati; Actinomycetota; Actinomycetes; Propionibacteriales; Nocardioidaceae
Description: 16S rRNA. Bacterial SSU
Rfam family: Bacterial small subunit ribosomal RNA
Source: RNAcentral